GACGAACGCUGGCGGCGUGCUUAACACAUGCAAGUCGAACGGAAAGGCGCUGCUUUUGUGGGGUGCACGAGUGGCGAACGGGUGAGUAACACGUGUGUAACAUGCCCUUGUCUUUGGGAUAAAUUCAGGAAACUGGGGAUAAUACAGGAUAGGAGCUCCUGCUGCAUGGGGGGGGAUGGAGAGUUACGGCGGUUGGGGAUGGAAUAGAGGCUUAUCAGCUUGUUGGUGGGGUAGUGGCUUACCAAGUCUUCGACGGGUAGCCGGCCUGAGAGCGUGACCAGCCACCUUGGUACUGCGAGACGGCCCAGACUCCUACGGGAGGCAGAAGUGGGGAAUAUUGCACAGUGACCGGAAGCCUGAUGCAGCAACGCCGCGUGCGUGAUGACGGCCUUCGGGUUGUAAACCGCUUUCGCCUUUGACGAAGCGUUAUUGACGGUAAUUAGUAAAGAAGCACCGGCUAACUACGUG
RNAcentral lists this ribosomal RNA (468 nucleotides) under uncultured bacterium. RNAcentral describes it as "partial 16S ribosomal RNA". It matches the Rfam family "Bacterial small subunit ribosomal RNA", at positions 28 to 507 of the family's 1533-position model. The record is from RNAcentral.